GGCCGUGGCUCAGUGGUAGAGCACUCGCCUAGCAUGAGUAAGGCACUGGGUUCGAUUCUCAGCACCA
Molecule: transfer RNA, 67 nt
Filed under: Marmota monax (woodchuck)
Lineage: Eukaryota; Metazoa; Chordata; Mammalia; Rodentia; Sciuridae
Description: tRNA.Ala
Source: RNAcentral